AGCAUAGUCAGCUAAUUUAAGCUCUUGGGCCCAUACCCCAAAAAUGUUGGCUAAAACCAACCCAUGCUA
Molecule: transfer RNA, 69 nt
Filed under: Loxopholis percarinatum
Lineage: Eukaryota; Metazoa; Chordata; Lepidosauria; Squamata; Gymnophthalmidae
Description: tRNA-Gln
Source: RNAcentral